GUAGGGAAUAUUGGGCAAUGGUCGGAAGACUGACCCAGCCAUGCCGCGUGCAGGAAGACGGCCCUCUGGGUUGUAAACUGCUUUUAUCUGGGAAGAAAAAGGCCAUGCGUGGCAAAUUGCCGGUACCAGAUGAAUAAGCACCGGCUAACUCCGUGCCAGCAGCCGCGGUAAUACGGAGGGUGCGAGCGUUGUCCGGAUUUAUUGGGUUUAAAGGGUGCGUAGGCGGGUGAUUAAGUCAGCGGUGAAAGACUUCGGCUUAACCGGAGCAGUGCCGUUGAUACUGGUUGGCUUGAGUGUCGGAGGGGUACAUGGAAUUGAUGGUGUAGCGGUGAAAUGCAUAGAUACCAUCAGGAACACCGAUAGCGAAGGCAUUGUACUGGCCGACAACUGACGCUGAUGCACGAAAGUGUGGGGAUCGAACAGGAUUAGAUACCCGUGUAGUCC
Molecule: ribosomal RNA, 444 nt
Filed under: uncultured bacterium
Lineage: Bacteria
Description: partial 16S ribosomal RNA
Rfam family: Bacterial small subunit ribosomal RNA
Source: RNAcentral